UACGUAGGGUGCGAGCGUUAAUCGGAAUUACUGGGCGUAAAGCGUGCGCAGGCGGCGCGUUAAGACAGGUGUGAAAGCCCCGAGCUUAACUUGGGAAUUGCGCUUGUGACUGGCGUGCUGGAGUGUGGGAGAGGGAGGUGGAAUUCCACGUGUAGCAGUGAAAUGCGUAGAGAUGUGGAGGAACACCGAUGGCGAAGGCAGCCUCCUGGGCCAGCACUGACGCUCAUGCACGAAAGCGUGGGGAGCAAACAGG
This 253-nucleotide ribosomal RNA is filed under the name uncultured bacterium. RNAcentral describes it as "partial 16S ribosomal RNA". It matches the Rfam family "Bacterial small subunit ribosomal RNA", at positions 524 to 776 of the family's 1533-position model. The record is from RNAcentral.